AUGUCAACAAGUGACGCAGGAGAGACGGAGCCCCGAGUUGUAGGAGGAGAGAGAGCGACGCCGGAGUGCGGGACGGCGCGGACGAGCAACGCAAGAGCACAGGAGGAUGAAGCCUUUGACCGUUUCCAGCAGCAGCGUCAUCAUGGUGACAUAAGCCCACAUGACCCGGACAGUCACCUGUCAGCAGUCGCACAGCAGGAAACACACCAAGUUCAUUCUGAGGUCCGGGCACAGAAGCAUGUUGGCUCCACAUUCACAUCCAGCCUCUUCCUGACACUUUCCAGUCAUCGCGCAAACAAACGGGAGCGACGACCCACAUCCCACCCUCACAGUUUGAUAGAAGCACAGAGAGCUGAGCGUGAGGACGGCAGCUGUCAGGUCCACGGACAGACUCCAGAAUCAGCCCACUGUCGACUGACCCGUGAAUGUAACGGCCUGCACAGAAUCUCAUCUGGGGACAGCUCUGACUUUAAAGCGCUCGUUGACCCAUCAAACUCCGGUACCAUGUUGUCGUCCACGGUGGUUUCGGUUCUGGCUCCGCACUGGAGCGGCCGACGCCGCGGCAAAAGGUUAGAGGAGACGAACGCCUCAGAAGCCCAGGGAAGUCCAGGAGUGGCGAACACCCUUAACCGGGCCCAGCAGCCCAGUCAGAGCCAGCGUCUUUCUGAUGGGCUCUUUACAGACGGGUCGCAAGACCGUCCGAGGGUCCCUCCUCUGGGGAGCAGGAGCCACACCGCCGGCUGGUCAAGCAGCAGUGGGCCCGCGAGCCUGAACUAUGACUGUCAGAGAAAAAUGACCCAGACGGUGUCGUUGGAUGUAAACUCUGGAAGACUGGACAACAAGUCUGGCCACACGGCUGCGUCUCCUCUGCCGCUCCUCCAUCUUAACCCCAAUGAACAAGCCGGACCCUCAAUGUUAGGCUCCAAACCAGCCACCGGCACUUCGCUUCUAACCCUGAGACGAUCCAAUGUCUUGUUUUCCUCUCUACCCCUGAACAAAGACACAGAGGACAAACAAUCUCAAAUGAUUGGUUGGUCCAAGUCCAGUCUUACAUCUUCCAAACAUUCAUUUCAAAAUAAGGCACCUUCUGAUACGAACCAAUUCCCCGAGUUGCCGGCCCGUGCCACACAUUCGUCAUUUGACUCCACCCUAAAAGAACCUUUGUUCUUUAGAAGAACCAUCCUAACAUCCAAAUCCUGGUGGAAACAGGAUGUUCAGGAGGACGGUUUCCCUCCAACCACCGGCGAUGCAGCCAAGGUGACUGACACCCACAGCCCCCCCACAGAUCCCCCCCGUAGGGAUCACAGCGACGUGGCCUCUGCUUUGCCCAACGACAGCCAAGGUUUUACUGGUUCGACCUCCAGCAACAGAGACAACAGUAACACAACAGAGUCCGUUUGCAGAAGUAACACUAACCUUGCUAUGAAGACACAGGGAGGACUUCACAAUGAACUAAGAGCAACAGACUCACCUGACCACAGGUCAGAUCCGCUGGUCAGACAGUUGUAUGGCUCCCAUUUAAAGACCAGGGAACCACAGGAGCCUCACGGUCUGACCAGCACAUUGUCCUCCUCUAUAAAUACACCACUGACUCCUACCAAGGAUUUCAAGCUUCAUGAAAGUAAUGGCUGCAUUUCAGAAAAUCUACCACGGCCCACUUUACUGAAUCCCACAAGCUCAGCUUCACCCACUGAGAGAAGCAGUACAUUUAAUUUGAAUCCUUGCUCCCCCAGGUCCUACAGCCUCCCCACGUCGCCUCACCAAAGCCCGUCUGACAGGCAGGCUUCUCCUUCCGCCACCAGCCAAGCUGAUUACACCUCCGCUGUUGCCCCCAACACCAACUCUAGCGCCGCUCUUCAUUCCCAUCCUGUUUCUUCUCAGCCUAGCAAACACACCUUAUUACACACCGGCUCUCCUUUCCAGGCCCCGAGCAGAACCAGCCCCUCCCCUCUUGGCUUUGAGAGGACCUACGCCUCCUUACCUAAGCCGUUCCGCCCUAAACCAGUGUCCAGCCUGAUUCCCAGUGUCACUGGUUUCACCAAGAACCACACCAGCCCGGUGUCCACUGCGUCUAUCUCAUCUUCCACCACUGCAGCUACAACUGUCCCCAGUCUAUACCUCACCUCUCCGUCUGCCAUUAAAACCACUCCCACUGCUGCCUCCGUCUCCUCGCUCCUGACACCUCCUGCGACGCCAGUCGGCCACAACUGCGCAGACAUUUCAAGCCCAACACUUUCAAUCAAUCCAGAAAAAGACCCCAAGAAAGGGGAGGGGAAGAGAGUCAGGCGAGUAACGUGGAACGACUCAGUGGACCUGCAGCAUCCUGGGUCCGUUUCAUUAGAGAAACCCGAUCAGGUCCCCACAAACCCCCUGUCUCCUUCCAGGUCCCCCCGAAACGUCAGCACUCCGUCCAUCUUCUCCUUCCUAAGAUCCAACAGUCCCAACAAAACUACAUCUCCCCUCAGGUCCCCUUCCCCUAAAACCUCGAGCAUCCAGGUGAGGAGCGGAGAGAAGUUUCGAUCCUUGUCGUCAGACUCUGCUGAUUUAAAAUGCAGGGAGCAGGAGAGAACGAGGCACAGGCCAAGUGACGCUGCGAUCUUUAACCAAGACAGACAAGACUUGCCGACCCACAGGCAGGAGAGGACGCAGUCGGUGGAGGCCGACGCGGGUCAGAGCCACCCGUCUGCUCCUCUGUCUCUGCCUCCAGACUUCCCCAGCGGUUACAAGCUUCGUUACAGCUCGCCCCCUUACACCAGUCUUGUGUCCAACAGGUCAAUGCAUGGAGAAACCAGGGCUAGAGCACUUAGACCACCCCUCUUCCAAGACGCCUCUCGAUCAAUUUAUUCCUCGCAUCCCUCCUCAAAUACCGAUCCUGCCGAAGUAAAGCUGCUACCCACAUCCAAGUCCCCCACUUUGCCUGUUGGCCCAACUCAGCCCCUAUGUAUGUCCUUGAAAAACAAGAUGCCAGAACAUUCAGAGUUUGAGCUUCUACAAGCUGAUGAAGCCAACAGUAAUCACAGCAGGAAAGGCGGCCAGAGCCACCACAACGGCCAGGUAUCGCUUGUUAAUAACAGAGUCCACAUCACCUCUCGCUCUCUGGACAGUGACGCUCACGACUCAACGUUUGUAACUGAGACACUGGUUUACAGCAUUAAACCUAAAGUGGGUGCGCCUCCCCCUGCUCCAGCCCGCGCAUCACCUGCACCUUCACCUUCACCACUUCCCACAAAUACAAAGGCCUCUGUGGAAACCAAGCGAGGUCAGCAGCCUCACAGAGGGCAGAGGGCGGCAGAGGCUCAUCCACAGAGUCACUCGGAUCAGAGCUCCAGUGGGAGCAGCUCAACAGAGAGUCAGCAGUUAGAGGGGGAGGGCUGGGGCAAGAAGAUGAAAGCUACCGUGCUGGGUAAAAGCAGGUUCUUCUCAAUGGAGAGCCCAAGUGAACAAAGUCAGAAGAAAAGCCGGUUUGCACUGAAGAAGAGCGUUAGUAGCCCGAACCCCAGUUUAUUGAGGUCGGACUCAGAGAGGAGCAACAGGCCCAACAACAAAGUGGACCAGGUCCUUAACAAACUCAGACAAACCUUCAGCAACAAAAGAUCUGAUGACGAUGCGUCGUUUCCAUGGAAAUGGAGGAGAGCCUCCCAUACGCCUUCGCUCAGUGGGUCCAGCGACACCACUACAGGCAGCAGCAAAACCCUGGAGGAGCGGGAGGACAGAGGAACCGAGGGAGCUGAGAGAUGGGCACCAAACAAAUACACCAUCGUACCGCCUUCACCGGACAGCAGAGCAGCGCCCGGGGAUCAGUUCUCAGCCGGCUCUGACCGGGACGGGCUCAGGUCCGAUAGUAAACCGCAGGUUCACGUGACGGUACACAGCCCAGCGGCGCAGCCGUUCGACUACUACAGCGACAGCGGAGCAACAAACCACUUCCUCUUCUGUAGAGAUCCUCCUGGACGAAGCGGCAACCCUCCUGCGUGUUACCCUGCUCAGUGUAGGAAGUCCACCUCCAGCCCCAGGAGCCCUUUCUCGCCCUUCUCCUCUCUCUCACCCCUCUCCCCGUUCUCCUCACCUGACGUGACAGAUGACAGCGUCUUCUACAGCCCGAAGCUGCAGCGCCGCAGAGAAUCGCCCUCGCCGUGCGACCCGGGGGAGGGUCUCAGCCUGGGGGCCUCCAGGAGGAGUCGAGCAUCCACAGGUCCCCCGAGUCCAGGCCACGCCCAGGGCAGCCAGCACUUCGCGUCCUCCUAUGCUGAUCUGAAGUACGGCAUCGAGCCCGGCAGGUCGUUUUCUGUGAGCUCGGUCCUGUCGAGUCGAGCCUCGAAGCCUGGACGCAUUUCCACUGGAUCCAGGAUCAUGAGUGUUGGCGACCUCUCCGAGUCCGUCCUGACUUGUGCAGGUGCCGGCGGGGACAGGGAUCGGGGGUCCUAUCCGCCCGCAUGGACUACGGGCCAGGAUUGCCAACCCGCUAUGAACUUGCAUUUGCCCAGUGACCCUGGUAAAGUGAGGUCCAGGUCCCUUCCUCGAUCACUGACCCUCGCUAACUGGAGCUCAGGAGUGUCCAUCUGUCACCCUGCUCCUGCUGCGUCCUCCAGGUCAGCCCGCCUCUGGAGUCCAAACAUGAACCCCUGUCACUUUGCAUGGGAUGCUGAGGCUCCUCCGACUCCUCCUCCGACACCCCCCCUGUCCCCUGUGUCCAGACGUAUAUCCAAAGCUUCCAGCCAGGCCUCUCCUCCUUUCUCCAGCUCGCCGGGAUCCCCGCAGAGUGCGGACAGCCAGACGUCCAGGGGCCAUCGGCCCUCCAGAGGUUACGUCUCCAGCCUUAGCACUUUUGAGGAGUCCUCAGACAGUAGCUCGGACACGACAACAGACGACGAGUAUUACCUAGAGACGGGCGAAGAAGAGAAGGAGACUGAGCUGUGAAAAGAAAAAUGGAGCAACGUCCACAAGAGCAAUGAUGCACAGGGGCCUCCUCUGAUCGUCUCAUUUUAACCUGUUGGGAUAGUCGGUUGCUUGCAUGAUUUGCCUUUUAAAAGUAGUGGUUGUAUCACAGAACUGAGCGAGCAUGUCAUCAGCUUAGUGUGUAACCUGAAGCGUGUACCGUAAAUACAGUUUAAGAGGAGAUUUUGACUUUCCUGCAGUUUGGAGCGUUGCAUGGCUGUAGUGAGCUGUUUAAUAAUCGCUCUGCUGGUUGAGGCUCUGGACGCCUUUUGUCUUUAGGUUUGCAUUUCGUCCUGCUUCUUAACAGUGCGUGCUGAGAUAAGCUGCUGCCAUAGAAUGUACCACGUGUGUUCUACUGUUUGGACGUUGAGAGUAGCUGCGGUUUUAUUAACCAUUUUUUUUCUUUUCACCUUUUGUAAAUGGUUUGUGUUGAUUAUUAAUAUUGUUUGUACUGUGGGAUGAAGAUGAUGUUCAGAUUAACAUUCUCUGGUGACUUCAUCACGUGCUCUAUGCAGCGCCUGCUCUUAUUUGCUCUAUUUGCACAACGACAAUAAAAAUUCCUAAUAUAUCUUUUUAUAAAUAAAC
Long non-coding RNA from Betta splendens (Siamese fighting fish), 5520 nucleotides. Ensembl annotates it as mucin-17-like. The record is from Ensembl. NCBI's taxonomy places the organism in Eukaryota, Metazoa, Chordata, Actinopteri, Anabantiformes, Osphronemidae.